AACGAACGCUGGCGGCAUGCCUAACACAUGCAAGUCGAACGAGACCUUCGGGUCUAGUGGCGCACGGGUGCGUAACGCGUGGGAACCUGCCCUUAGGUUCGGAAUAACUCCCCGAAAGGGGUGCUAAUACCGGAUAAUGUCUUCGGACCAAAGAUUUAUCGCCUUUGGAUGGGCCCGCGUUGGAUUAGCUAGUUGGUAGGGUAAAAGCCUACCAAGGCGACGAUCCAUAGCUGGUCUGAGAGGAUGAUCAGCCACACUGGGACUGAGACACGGCCCAGACUCCUACGGGGGCAGCAGUGGGGAAUAUUGGACAAUGGGCGAAAGCCUGAUCCAGCAAUGCCGCGUGAGUGAUGAAGGCCUUAGGGUUGUAAAGCUCUUUUACCCGGGAUGAUAAUGACAGUACCGGGAGAAUAAGCUCCGGCUAACUCCGUG
Molecule: ribosomal RNA, 432 nt
Filed under: uncultured bacterium
Lineage: Bacteria
Description: partial 16S ribosomal RNA
Rfam family: Bacterial small subunit ribosomal RNA
Source: RNAcentral